GCACUGCUGACGAGUCCCAAACAGGGCGAAACAGCUGUUCAGUGC
Molecule: non-coding RNA, 45 nt
Organism: Echinostoma caproni
Lineage: Eukaryota; Metazoa; Platyhelminthes; Trematoda; Plagiorchiida; Echinostomatidae
Source: Rfam